This 64-nucleotide transfer RNA is filed under the name Ornithodoros moubata. RNAcentral's name for it is "tRNA-Ile". Lineage: Eukaryota; Metazoa; Arthropoda; Arachnida; Ixodida; Argasidae. The record is from RNAcentral.
AAUAAAAUGCCUGAAAAAGGAGUAUUCUGAUAGAAUAAUUUAUGUAUAACCAGUACUUUUAUUA